AUUGAACGCUGGCGGCAGGCCUAACACAUGCAAGUCGGACGGUAGCACAGAGGAGCUUGCUCCUCGGGUGACGAGUGGCGGACGGGUGAGUAAUGUCUGGGGAUCUGCCCGAUAGAGGGGGAUAACCACUGGAAACGGUGGCUAAUACCGCAUAACGUCGCAAGACCAAAGAGGGGGACCUUCGGGCCUCUCACUAUCGGAUGAACCCAGAUGGGAUUAGCUAGUAGGCGGGGUAACGGCCCACCUAGGCGACGAUCCCUAGCUGGUCUGAGAGGAGGACCAGCCACACUGGAACUGAUACACGGUCCAGACUCCUACGGGAGGCAGCAGUGGGGAAUAUUGCACAAUGGGCGCAAGCCUGAUGCAGCCAUGCCGCGUGUAUGAAGAAGGCCUUCGGGUUGUAAAGUACUUUCAGCGGGGAGGAAGGCGAUGUGGUUAAUAACCGCGUCGAUUGACGUUACCCGCAGAAGAAGCACCGGCUAACUCCGUGCCAGCCGCCGCGGUAA
This 506-nucleotide ribosomal RNA is filed under the name uncultured bacterium. RNAcentral describes it as "partial 16S ribosomal RNA". It matches the Rfam family "Bacterial small subunit ribosomal RNA", at positions 29 to 523 of the family's 1533-position model. The record is from RNAcentral.